This 349-nucleotide long non-coding RNA is filed under the name Dermacentor andersoni. RNAcentral describes it as "uncharacterized LOC126524414". Lineage: Eukaryota; Metazoa; Arthropoda; Arachnida; Ixodida; Ixodidae. The record is from RNAcentral.
CCCAAACACAGCACACAAGCAAAACUGCGAGUACGUGUACCCACACUGCACGACACACAGCCACACAGGUGUUGCGUCUCAGAGGCAGUAAACUGCUAGCUUCAGCCCAAACACAGCACACAAGCAAAACUGCGAGUACGUGUACCCACACUGCACGACACACAGCCACACAGGUGUUGCGUCUCAGAGGCAGUAAACUGCUAGCUUCAGCCCAAACACAGCACACAAGCAAAACUGCGAGUACGUGUACCCACACUGCACGACACACAGCCACACAGGUGUUGCGUCUCAGAGGCAGUAAACUGCUAGCUUCAGCCAAAACACAGCACACAAGCAAAACUGCGAGUAC